Long non-coding RNA from Psammomys obesus (fat sand rat), 1622 nucleotides. RefSeq lists it as uncharacterized. NCBI's taxonomy places the organism in Eukaryota, Metazoa, Chordata, Mammalia, Rodentia, Muridae. The record is from RefSeq and is a predicted model, not a curated record. The transcript has 3 exons.
UUUGUAUCCAGGUGCUUUCCUCUGACUAUAAAAAGUAAUUGUGGAAUAAAGCACGGGGGUGACAGUUUCUACUGGCAGCCUUCUCAAACUCAUCUCGUGUGUGUGGGGGGGGGGUUAUUUUUUUAUUUUCUUUCAGUCCUCACUCCCCACUCAGGAACUGCUCAACUCUGCCUGGAAGAAGUGGCCACACCAGUUUACACUCCCCUAAUGCUGGAUGAGGGUGUGCAAGGGUAUGUCUUCUUGCUGUAUCUGCACUGCUGUCUUCAUGGGAUGGAGAGUGAUGGAGAGUGGCAAGCCUCCUCGAUGAAUGAGCCUUCCACAACCCAAGUUGCAAGGACACCACCAGUGUGACUGUCAGACGCUUUACAGACCUGACAGUAGCCCACAUGGAACAGGAGUUGGAAGCUGUGGCAUCAAGUGCAUGGUCAUAAUCCUGGGCAACUUGCCACACAACUGAGCCUCAGCUGUCCACCCAGGGAGGAACUGGUUGCUGCUUUUCGCUGUGGGCUGUGGUUAACUUCGAAGAGUCAACUGGUAAAAGCUGAGAGUAAGCAGUUACUGAAUGCUCUGUCCUGACUAAGAUGUCUACAGUAAGCCCCUCCAGGACUCAGGGAAUUGAGGACCAUUUCACCCUUGUGCCAGCCACCCAAAAAGAAGACAUCAGUUACAGUCUGUGCUGCCCUCAUUGGCGCACAGCCAGCCUCUCAGAGACUACUUAAUCCUUUCCCACCCCACCUGCAGAAGCCAGCAACUGUGAAGAAAUACACCUCAGCAUCCAUCACAAUUCCUAAGGACCCUCCCCAACGACCUCCCAUGGUCCCCCUUUCCUUGGGGUUGAGGGAGAGGUUGUCACAGAAGACUUCAAUAUCUCAUUCUCAACUAUAGCCCUCAACACCACUGAGUACAGUUACCUUCUUUUUUGGGGGUGGGGGUGUCGAGACACAGACAGGGCAGCCCUGGCUCCCCUAGGCUCCCUUUGUAGACCAGGCUGGCCUCAACUUAGAGAUCCACAUGCUUCUACCUGAGUGCUGGGAUUACAGGCAUGUGGCACCACAGUGGGCAGAGUGCAGUUGUUUUUUGACCUGCCUGUGAGAAUGGGGAUCUCUCUCUCUUUUCCCUGCAUAUACUGUGCAACUGUCAGUCAAAGGGGGACCCAUUUGGAAACUAGAACUUCCUCUGAGGAGGAAGACCUGAAGACAGUAAUAAUCCCAUGUAACCCCGGGGGAAACAGCCACAAAGCAAUGGUUACCAUCAUGCCCAGAUCCCACGCUAACAUUUGGAGAGAGGAAAAAAGGUCUUUAGAAGCCCCCUACUUACAAAAUGGGGGAGUUGUUAAUUUAACUUUUCCAUGCCCUGCCGAGAAACACAGACCAACCAAUCAGAAUGUCUGUUUCCUCUCUAUCUGAAAAUGGCUGUGAAGGUUUUCAGCUGUUAGGAACUAUCCAGUUUGGGGGUGGUUUGGUUUUGGUUUCGUUUUCCUGAAACAGAGUCUCCCUUUGUGGUCAAGACUGGAUCUUCCUGCCAGGGUUACAGAUGUGUGCCCCCACACUGGGGCAUAGCUUCUGUUCUUCUAAUCAGCAAAUGUGAUGUUAAUUGCAAUUAAUAUGUAUCCAAAAUAAAGA